CUUCACCGACCCCAACCACAACGGCUCCACCCUGUCCUGUCCGUAGGUGGCAAGCAACGCCUGCGCCUC
This 69-nucleotide antisense RNA is filed under the name Actinophytocola oryzae. Its description in RNAcentral is "ASpks TB sRNA". It matches the Rfam family "ASpks TB sRNA". The record is from Rfam by way of RNAcentral. Lineage: Bacteria; Bacillati; Actinomycetota; Actinomycetes; Pseudonocardiales; Pseudonocardiaceae.